AUAUUGGAUUGCCGACGUACCACAGGCGUGAUUUAAAGGACAAGGCAUUCUGCAGCAUUGCGGAAAAACUUUUAUGCACAGCUGCUGUUGUCAAGGCCAAAUGAACAAACCUAAGGUCUCAGUUUCAGCGAGAAGUGCGAAAGGUUGAAGGAAGCAAAAGAUCUGGAUGUGGCCCCGACGAAGUACAUCGACCCAAGUGGGCGCACUUUGAAGCAAUGCAGUUCCUGAGUUCGAGCUGCAAGCAAGUUCAAAGUACAUGCAACUUAAAUCUUGGCCAAGCAGCUGAAGAUUCUGAGCAUGGCUUACAGGAUUGUCGGAGUGAGACAGACGUUUUUGACAGCAGCAGCAGCAGUAGCCCUGUAGUUGGUGGCACUAUGGAUAGCAGCCCUAUAGGUGGUAGUCCAAUUCUGGAAGACACCCCCACCCCCAGCAGGUCUGAAAAGAGAAAAGCAGACAAGCAACGAAGUGAUGACAAGACGAAGCUAUUGCGUGCUUCUGCGUGCAAGCCUGAGAGGCUUCACUGGUCACAAAGUGAUGAAUGCGAAAUAUAUGGUGCCAUGAUAGCAAACAUGAUCAGGGAGGUCCCUGCAGGUGUGCAAAGACACGUUGCAAUGAUUGUUGCACAGCAGGCUAUUGUAAAAUACACAUUGUCAUUGUAAACUGGGCAGGGAGACGUAAUUCAGUUUGAAGACUUCCACACAGAAUGAUUUUAACACAUACGCAAGACUGUGUGCAAUAACUAAAUGUGAUCAUAAUAGUGCAAU
This is a long non-coding RNA of Ornithodoros turicata, 764 nucleotides long. RefSeq lists it as uncharacterized. NCBI's taxonomy places the organism in Eukaryota, Metazoa, Arthropoda, Arachnida, Ixodida, Argasidae. The transcript is spliced from 3 exons. The record is from RefSeq and is a predicted model, not a curated record.